UACAGAGGGUGCGAGCGUUAAUCGGACUUACUGGGCGUAAAGGGCGCGUAGGUGGAGAAUUAAGUCAGAUGUGAAAUCCCAGGGCUCAACCUUGGAAUGGCAUUUGAAACUGGUUAUCUAGAGUAUGGUAGAGGGAAGGGGAAUUUCCGGUGUAGCGGUGAAAUGCGUAGAUAUCGGAAGGAACAUCAGUGGCGAAGGCGCCUUCCUGGACUAAUACUGACACUGAGGCGCGAAAGCGUGGGUAGCAAACAGG
RNAcentral lists this ribosomal RNA (253 nucleotides) under uncultured bacterium. RNAcentral describes it as "partial 16S ribosomal RNA". It matches the Rfam family "Bacterial small subunit ribosomal RNA", at positions 524 to 776 of the family's 1533-position model. The record is from RNAcentral.